GAGCGGCGCACGGGUGAGUAACGCGUAUGCAACCUACCUUAUACAGGGGGAUAGCCCAGAGAAAUUUGGAUUAAUACCCCAUGGCACUAUUUUAUCGCAUGGUAAAAUAGUUAAAGAUUUAUCGGUAUAAGAUGGGCAUGCGUGACAUUAGAUUGUUGGCGGGGUAACGGCCCACCAAGUCAGCGAUGUCUAGGGGUUCUGAGAGGAUGAUCCCCCACACUGGUACUGAGACACGGACCAGACUCCUACGGGAGGCAGCAGUGAGGAAUAUUGGUCAAUGGGCGCAAGCCUGAACCAGCCAUCCCGCGUGAAGGAUGACGGCCCUAUGGGUUGUAAACUUCUUUUAUGUACCAAGAAUAUGCCUUACGAGUAGGGUAUUGACGGUAGUGCAUGAAUAAGCAUCGGCUAACUCCGUGCCAGCAGCCGCGGUAAUACGGAGGAUGCGAGCGUUAUCCGGAUUCAUUGGGUUUAAAGGGUGCGUAGGCGGUUUAUUAAGUCAGUGGUGAAAUCCUGCGGCUCAACCGUAGAACUGCCAUUGAUACUGAUAAACUUGAAUAUAGUUGAGGUAGGCGGAAUGAGUAGUGUAGCGGUGAAAUGCUUAGAUAUUACUCAGAACACCGAUUGCGAAGGCAGCUUGCUAAGCUAUUAUUGACGCUGAGGCACGAAAGCGUGGGGAUCAAACAGGAUUAGAUACCCUGGUAGUCCACGCCGUAAACGAUGUUCACUCGCUGUUUGCGAUAUACAGUAAGCGGCCAAGCGAAAGCAUUAAGUGAACCACCUGGGGAGUACGUCGGCAACGGUGAAACUCAAAGGAAUUGACGGGGGCCCGCACAAGCGGAGGAACAUGUGGUUUAAUUCGAUGAUACGCGAGGAACCUUACCUGGGCUUAAAUGUAGAGUGCAUGUGGUGGAAACACCCUUCCCUUCGGGGCUAUCUACAAGGUGCUGCAUGGUUGUCGUCAGCUCGUGCCGUGAGGUGUCGGGUCAAGUCCCAUAACGAGCGCNAACCCUUACCGUUAGUUGCCAUCAGGUCAUGCUGGGGACUCUAGCGGGACUGCCACCGUAAGGUGAGAGGAAGGUGGGGAUGACGCCAAAUCAGCACGGCCCUUAUGUCCAGGGCUACACACGUGUUACAAUGGCCGAUACAAAGGGCAGCUACACCGCGAGGUGAUGCUAAUCUCGAAAGUCGGUCUCAGUUCGGAUCGGAGUCUGCAACUCGACUCCGUGAAGUUGGAUUCGCUAGUAAUCGCGCAUCAGCCAUGGCGCGGUGAAUACGUUCCCGGGCCUUGUACACACCGCCCGUCAAACCAUGGAAGCUGGGGGGACCUGAAGUAUGCAACCGCNAGGAGCGUCCUAGGGUAAAACCGGUGACUGGGGUUAAGCCGUAACAAGGU
RNAcentral lists this ribosomal RNA (1393 nucleotides) under uncultured Cytophaga sp. RNAcentral describes it as "16S ribosomal RNA". It matches the Rfam family "Bacterial small subunit ribosomal RNA". Lineage: Bacteria; Pseudomonadati; Bacteroidota; Cytophagia; Cytophagales; Cytophagaceae. The record is from RNAcentral.